Molecule: ribosomal RNA, 253 nt
Filed under: uncultured bacterium
Lineage: Bacteria
Description: partial 16S ribosomal RNA
Rfam family: Bacterial small subunit ribosomal RNA
Source: RNAcentral
UACGUAGGGGGCAAGCGUUGUCCGGAUUUAUUGGGCGUAAAGAGCGUGUAGGCGGUCAGGUAGGUCCGUUGUGAAAACUCGAGGCUCAACCUCGAGACGCCGAUGGAAACCAUCUGACUAGAGUCCGGAAGAGGAGAGUGGAAUUCCUGGUGUAGCGGUGAAAUGCGCAGAUAUCAGGAAGAACACCCGUGGCUAAGGCGGCUCUCUAGUACGGUACUGACGCUGAGGAGCGAAAGCGUGGGGAGCGAACAGG